This 258-nucleotide ribosomal RNA is filed under the name uncultured bacterium. RNAcentral's name for it is "partial 16S ribosomal RNA". It matches the Rfam family "Bacterial small subunit ribosomal RNA", at positions 15 to 266 of the family's 1533-position model. The record is from RNAcentral.
GAUCAUGACUCAGGAUGAACGCUAGCUACAGGCUUAACACAUGCAAGUCGGAGGGGCAGCAUGACCUAGCAAUAGGUUGAUAGCGACCGGCGCACGGGUGAGUAACACGUAUCCAACCUACCCGGUUAUUCCGGGAGUAGCCUUUCGAAAGAAAGAUUAAUACCGGAUAGUAUAACGAGAAGGCAUCUUCUUGUUAUUAAAGAAUUCGAUAACCGAUGGGGAUGCGUUCCAUUAGUUUGUUGGCGGGGUAACGGGCCC